Elaeis guineensis (African oil palm) is the source of this 1032-nucleotide non-coding RNA. The record is from RefSeq and is a predicted model, not a curated record. Lineage: Eukaryota; Viridiplantae; Streptophyta; Magnoliopsida; Arecales; Arecaceae.
GAAUGCCCACAAAAGAAGGCCAUCCCCCGGUUCAACCCGAUGCCUUCAAUCAUGGAACAAGAGAUACCGAUGAGGAGCGCCAUUGCCAUGAACUCGCACACCGCCAUCUUUGUCGAAGAAAAUUAAGAAAAAAGAAAAAGAAAUAAAGCUGGGAAAAAGAAAAGAAUUCUGCUGUAGUGCUGCAAAGUUCUUUUGGGUCUUUAUCAAGAAUAAUUUUUUUUUAAUCUUUUUAGUGCUAAUAUUUUUUUGUCUUCCUUCGUUGCCUCCCAACCGUGUUUUUUAUAUUUGUCGGGUAGUCCUUGAGAGUUCUACCCUAUCCCUUCAUUGUUGCUCCUAGCAUUCAUGACUUAAUGAGUGCUCCUUUCGGAAAUUAAAAAAAUCCUACCAGUAGACCAUCAAUUAGAUCGGUGACUUCGGGCUCGGCAACCUCCACAAGUACAAGCCAACCCAAGCACCACCCGCAUGAUGGGCACCCUGGGUACCUCGCCCUCGAGCUCACCUAGACAAGCAAGACCACCACUAGUUGCGACGGGUUCACCUUCGGCACCCUCGCCCUUGAGGUGGUCUGCGGCCAUUGCCCUGUUGAGCCCAAGGCACUAUUGGAGGAGCUCAUGCUGGUGGAUUGGGUGUGGGAGCCGUGGAGCUUUGGACGAUGGGUGGUGGACCUGUGGCUGGAGCACAGGAGAAGUGGAAAAGAGAGCUUCUGACCUCUUGAACGUGUAUCCAUGCAGCUUCAAACAGCAACACUCAAACAAACAUGAAAAUGAAUCUUUCAUCUAAGACUUGUUCAACCUAGUCAAGGGUCCUUAAUAAUUUUGACAUGGUGACGCGGUGGUGUUUGUGGUAUCCUUGUGGCUGCUUUCUGAAUUCCAUGUCAUGCGACUUGGUCAUGCAUCAUAUAUCUAUAUGAAGUAUGGCAAUUGUAAUUAUGUGAAUAGCCAUAUGAUAAAGUGCAGAAUAUAAAUACUUAAUAUGUAUCUUUCAAAGUGUUGUUGCAUUGAACUGCUGAAAUAAAAAUUUCUUAAUUAAUCA